AUACGGAGGGUGCAAGCGUUGUCCGGAUUUAUUGGGUUUAAAGGGUACGUAGGUGGCCUAUUAAGUCAGUGGUGAAAUUUUGCAGCUUAACUGUAAAACUGCCAUUGAUACUGGUAGGCUUGAGUAUCGUUGAGGCAGGCGGAAUUUAUGGUGUAGCGGUGAAAUGCAUAGAUACCAUAAAGAACACCGAUAGCGAAGGCAGCUUGCUAAGCGAUAACUGACACUAAUGUACGAAAGCGUGGGGAGCGAACAGGAUUAGAUACCCCAGUAGUCC
Molecule: ribosomal RNA, 274 nt
Filed under: uncultured bacterium
Lineage: Bacteria
Description: partial 16S ribosomal RNA
Rfam family: Bacterial small subunit ribosomal RNA
Source: RNAcentral